Heterocephalus glaber (naked mole-rat) is the source of this 2380-nucleotide long non-coding RNA. RefSeq lists it as uncharacterized. Lineage: Eukaryota; Metazoa; Chordata; Mammalia; Rodentia; Bathyergidae. The record is from RefSeq and is a predicted model, not a curated record.
UACCACAAAAAAAAAAGGGCAGACUUCCCUGCCGUGUGCAGCUGCGCUCAGUGUGCAGCACCCAUGUGCUUGGGUCUGACUGUGCUUCGCAUGCUCAGUUUGCUUUUGGAAAGUGUCCAGGGUAAACCGAGGAAGCUGCAAUCUAGGUAUCUGCAGUCUAAUAGAUGCUACUAAGAGGUUUAACAGCAGGGAACUGCGCUUCAAGGGCCCCAAGACAAAGACCAACAAUCGGCUAUUCAUGUCCAGCACAUAGUUUAACAUGUAUUUUGUCUUUUUUGGUACCAGGGAUUAAACUCAGGACGUUGCGCUUGCAAGGCAGGUGCAGCUGGGCUGGAACUUGUGACCUCCUGCCUCAGCCUCCCUCCGUGCUGGGAUCACAGGGAAGGGCUGUGGGGUUACAGAGCCGCAGAGCCCCUCUGCACUGCCCCUGCCACCCUGCACAGCAGCAAGAAGCUCAGCUGGCCCGGGUCCGGGUUUUGAACACAGAAAAUGCAAAUCCCACAGAAAAUUUCCUCUGCAGACCUCUGCAGGUGAACAACUUAGCCUGAAGCUGGGGUGUGAGAAUCACUUGGAGAUACAGCUCGAGGGGCUGGCCCCUCACUCACUCACCCCACAUCGCCGUUCCCAGACCUGUGGAAGACCAAGGUUCCAGCAGCUCCGGAUGUGGGGUGAGAAGCCCGGCUCAUCGCAGCGAUAGCAGUCGCCGGGCCUGAGCAGCACGGCCAGAAACUUCAUGGGCAUGGUGGGCACCGGGCCUUGAACGACGAGAUCAGAGCAGGGUGAGGCCCAAGACAGGUCAGCGGUCCACACGGCAGGAGCCAGGGUUGCUGGCCAAGGGGAGGCCAAGGCGGGACAGUCAGAGUCAGCACAGAAAGUGAGUCAAGGGCAGGGACACACGGGGCCUGGCCGGGCCGGGCCGGGCUGUGCAACUUCCUGCAGGUCGUGAGUCCACACCCCACGCGCAGGCCCUCGCCUUUCCUGGACCCGACCCCCUUUCCACAGACUGCCCCCAAACACAAGCACCCCCAGCUGCAGGCCCAGUGCACGCUCCCUCUCGCUCGCUCCUUUUUGUCUACUUUUACAAUUCUGCCCAAUCGGCCUCUGUCCGCCUCUUUCUGAAAUGGAAAGCAGCUGCUGAGAGGCAGAGGCAGCCCUGAGGGCUCCCACCGUUCAAGGGCGCUGGCUCCAGGCUGCCCUGCUCUUCCCUCCUCGGGGACGUGGGACCUGGGGACAAUCAGCCAGCAAGGGCAUAGGGCGACAAAUAGCCAACUAGGAAAAGGGGGAGCUGGGCACACACCUGUAACCCCAGUACUUCUGGAGGCUGAGGCAGGAGGAUUGCUGUGAGUUUGAGGCCAGCCUGGGCUACAUAGGAAGACUCUGCCUCAAAAACACCGAAAAUCAUGCUCACUUUGGCAGCAUAUACACUAAACACACCAACACUGGAGAGGGGGACCUGGAAGUGGGGUCGGAGGUCAGAAAGCGGGGGAGAGACCUCGGCCCCUCCCCUGCCCUCCUCUGCUUUCCUGUCACCCAGCACGGCUGCAAAACACUUUCUGACCAAUCUCCUGACCCUGGUCCUAUCGCUGCAGUGCUGAGAGAAGAUUCUCCAGCUCCCUGUGGCAUCCACUUUCAGUCUCCGUCCUGAAGGUUUCGGCCUGCCUGCUCAGGCCCAGCUCCCACCCUGCCUCUGCAGUCACGCGGCCCCCAGGUCGACCAAACACCCUCUGAUUUGGAGGUCCAGGCUGGCUCCUGCCUGUAGAGGCCGUGGCGGUGGACAAGGACCGCAUCUCAAUACAGUAUUUUGGCAGAGCCCAGGAAUCUGGUCGAGAAUACCAGCGCGACCCUUGCUUGGGAGAAGUGUGCCCGGCUGUGAAAGCACCAAAGCAGGCCGGGCGCUGUGACACUGGCCAUGCGUCCAGCCACCUGCAGGAGGGGGAUCGGUGAAGGCUGCACAAAGAGCAGAAGCUAGAGCAGCACAGGGCACUGCGGGCAGCGGCUUGCAGCGCGUCUCAACGGCCGCCUGUACAUUUAGCUGCAAAGUGACAGACGUGGUCAGAGGUCUGCUGGGCCUGUCUGAGGGGACACACUGGACGCUCCUGCUCAGGCCUGCACCUCGCAGGUUGAUAUGACAAAGAAAAUCUUUUCAAGGGCUUUGGUUUCUUGUUAUUUUACUUAAUUCUGUGGCACUGGGAUUGAACCAGAGCUUCUGCAGUGAGCUACGUCCUCAGCCCUUUUUCAUUGUUUUAUUUUGAGACAGAGUCUCACUAAGUUGCUCAGAUUGGGCUUGAACUUGCAGUCCUCCUGCCUCAACAUCUGAGAGUGCUGGGAUUACAGGUGUACACCACCACGUCUUGCUGGUUUCUUUCAUUUUUUUUUGGUA